Molecule: ribosomal RNA, 445 nt
Filed under: uncultured bacterium
Lineage: Bacteria
Description: bacterial SSU rRNA
Rfam family: Bacterial small subunit ribosomal RNA
Source: RNAcentral
GUGAGGAAUAUUGGUCAAUGGGCGAGAGCCUGAACCAGCCAAGUAGCGUGAAGGAUGACUGCCCUAUGGGUUGUAAACUUCUUUUAUAAAGGAAUAAAGUCGGGUAUGCAUACCCGUUUGCAUGUACUUUAUGAAUAAGGAUCGGCUAACUCCGUGCCAGCAGCCGCGGUAAUACGGAGGAUCCGAGCGUUAUCCGGAUUUAUUGGGUUUAAAGGGUGCGUAGGCGGCCUUUUAAGUCAGCGGUGAAAGUCUGUGGCUCAACCAUAGAAUUGCCGUUGAAACUGGGGGGCUUGAGUAUGUUUGAGGCAGGCGGAAUGCGUGGUGUAGCGGUGAAAUGCUUAGAUAUCACGAAGAACUCCGAUUGCGAAGGCAGCCUGCUAAGCUGCAACUGACAUUGAGGCUCGAAAGUGUGGGUAUCAAACAGGAUUAGAAACCCGAGUAGUCC